GGACCCGCACAAGUAGUGGAGCAUGUGGUUUAAUUCGAAGAUACGCGCAGAACCUUACCAACACUUGACAUGUUCGUCGCGACUCUAAGAGAUUAGAGUUUUCGGUUCGGCCGGACGAAACACAGGCGCUGCAUGGCUGUCGUCAGCUCGUGUCGUGAGAUGUUGGGUUAAGUCCCGCAACGAGCGCAACCCUCACUUUUAGUUGCCAUCAUUAAGUUGGGCACUCUGAAAGAACUGCCAGUGAUAAGCUGGAGGAAGGUGGGGAUGACGUCAAGUCCUCAUGGCCCUUACGUGUUGGGCUACACACGUGCUACAAUGGUAUCUACAACAGGAAGCAAAAUCGCGAGGUUAAGCAAAUCCUUAAAAGAUACCUCAGUUCGGAUUGCACUCUGCAACUCGAGUGCAUGAAGCUGGAAUU
This 418-nucleotide ribosomal RNA is filed under the name uncultured bacterium. RNAcentral describes it as "bacterial SSU rRNA". It matches the Rfam family "Bacterial small subunit ribosomal RNA", at positions 917 to 1333 of the family's 1533-position model. The record is from RNAcentral.